This 542-nucleotide transfer RNA is filed under the name uncultured Prochlorococcus sp. The stretch from base 212 to 284 matches the Rfam family "tRNA". The record is from RNAcentral. Lineage: Bacteria; Bacillati; Cyanobacteriota; Cyanophyceae; Synechococcales; Prochlorococcaceae.
CAGGGAGACAACAAAAUGUUUAAUAUUAUUAUUUUGUCACCUUAGGUCGAUCGGUAUCUCACGUUUUUAAUUUAUUAAGAAUUUCAUUUCCUAAGUUUUUCUAGGUCACACCCAUUAUUUUUCCUGGGCCAUUAGCUCAGGUGGUUAGAGCGCACCCCUGAUAAGGGUGAGGUCCCUGGUUCAAGUCCAGGAUGGCCCAUAUCUCUAUGUUGGGGGUAUAGCUCAGUUGGUAGAGCGCCUGCUUUGCAAGCAGGAUGUCAGCGGUUCGAGUCCGCUUACCUCCACUGAUUACCACCUCUUCCAUAAUCUUUUAGAUAAGGAAAUUUUUUGAGUUGUGAUCAAAUUCUGAACGAAUCUAGCUUCCUAAUGAAAUCAUUAAGAUGCUGGACUCAUUGAAUUAAUUUCAUUGUUUUCAGAGAACCUUGACAACUGCAUAGAUUAUUUUUAAAGACAAUAAGCAUCUUUGAUGAUGCAGAUUUAUUAUUUGUGCGAAUGCAUUAAUAACAAUUCUAUUAAGCUAAUGCUUCAAUUUUGAAGUUAUU